This 69-nucleotide transfer RNA is filed under the name Phrynosoma platyrhinos (Desert horned lizard). RNAcentral's name for it is "tRNA-OTHER". Lineage: Eukaryota; Metazoa; Chordata; Lepidosauria; Squamata; Phrynosomatidae. The record is from RNAcentral.
GCCAGUGUGGCGUAGUGGUUUGAGAGUUGGACUGAAACUUUGGAGACCAGGGUUCAAUUCCCACUGGCA